GCUGGCGGCGUGCCUAAUACAUGCAAGUCGAGCGGAUGAAUGGGAGCUUGCUCCCGAUUGAUAGCGGCGGACGGGUGAGUAACACGUGGGCAACCUGCCUGUAAGACUGGGCUAACUUCGGGAAACCGGAGCUAAUACCGGAUAACUUCUUUCUUCUCCUGGAGAACGGUUGAAAGACGGCUUCCGCUGUCACUUACAGAUGGGCCCGCGGCGCAUUAGCUAGUUGGUGAGGUAACGGCUCACCAAGGCCACGAUGCGUAGCCGACCUGAGAGGGUGAUCGGCCACACUGGGACUGAGACACGGCCCAGACUCCUACGGGAGGCAGCAGUAGGGAAUCUUCCGCAAUGGACGAAAGUCUGACGGAGCAACGCCGCGUGAGUGAUGAAGGUUUUCGGAUCGUAAAACUCUGUUAUCAGGGAAGAACAAGUAUCGCAGUAACUGCCGGUACCUUGACGGUACCUGACCAGAAAGCCACGGCUAACUACGUGCCAGCAGCCGCGGUAAUACGUAGGUGGCAAGCGUUGUCCGGAAUUAUUGGGCGUAAAGCGCGCGCAGGCGGUUUCUUAAGUCUGAGGUGAAAGCCCACGGCUCAACCGUGAAGCGGCAUUGGAAACUGGGAGACUUGAGUGCAGAAGAGAAGAGUGGAAUUCCACGUGUAGCGGUGAAAUGCGUAGAGAUGUGGAGGAACACCAGUGGCGAAGGCGACUCUUUGAUCUGUAACUGACACUGAGGCGCGAAAGCGUGGGGAGCGAACAGGAUUAGAUACCCUGGUAGUCCACGCCGUAAACGAUGAGUGCUAAGUGUUAGAGGGUUUCCGCCCUUUAGUGCUGCAGCUAACGCAUUAAGCACUCCGCCUGGGGAGUACGGCCGCAAGGCUGAAACUCAAAGAAUUGACGGGGGCCGCACAAGCGGUGGAGCAUGUGGUUUAUU
RNAcentral lists this ribosomal RNA (931 nucleotides) under Bacillus sp. C4M. RNAcentral describes it as "bacterial SSU rRNA". It matches the Rfam family "Bacterial small subunit ribosomal RNA", at positions 35 to 950 of the family's 1533-position model. Lineage: Bacteria; Bacillati; Bacillota; Bacilli; Caryophanales; Bacillaceae. The record is from RNAcentral.